UACGGAGGAUGCGAGCGUUAUCCGGAUUUAUUGGGUUUAAAGGGUGCGUAGGCGGGAUAAUAAGUCAGUGGUGAAAACCUGCAGCUUAACUGUAGAACUGCCAUUGAUACUGUUAUUCUUGAGUGUGGUCAAGGUAGGCGGAAUGUGUAAUGUAGCGGUGAAAUGCUUAGAUAUUACACAGAACACCGAUUGCGAAGGCAGCUUACUGGACCAUUACUGACGCUGAUGCACGAAAGCGUGGGGAGCGAACAGG
RNAcentral lists this ribosomal RNA (253 nucleotides) under uncultured bacterium. RNAcentral describes it as "partial 16S ribosomal RNA". It matches the Rfam family "Bacterial small subunit ribosomal RNA", at positions 524 to 776 of the family's 1533-position model. The record is from RNAcentral.